This 1200-nucleotide long non-coding RNA is filed under the name Homo sapiens (human). RNAcentral describes it as "novel transcript". The record is from RNAcentral. Lineage: Eukaryota; Metazoa; Chordata; Mammalia; Primates; Hominidae.
GGGGGAAGAUAAAUGAGUGUGUGUUUCUUCCAAAGGCAAGGCUCUGAAUGAACGGGCGAUAUUGAUCCUUCUUAGAAAUUCCUAAGGCUCAAUGUUGUGUGGAAGAUUCUGAGAAAGAAAAUAGUUUCCGAUCUUUGGGAUUCCCCUGAGAUGGUCCAAUCUGCAAAAAGUUCAUUGCCAUUUCCAUCAAGGACACUGAGAACAAGAGUCUUAUCCGCAUUGAAUCCUGGGAAUUGAGAAGCUUCAGCAGGACCCCACUAGAAAUUGGACUGUUCAACUCACCUGGCAGCCACUCCCAGAGCCCCUGGAACUCCAGCCCAAGGCUCUCUGACUGACUCCUUCCCAGAUCUUCUUGGCUUAGCAGCUGAAGACUGACAAUGCCCGAUCGAUUGCCUCAGAAGCCUACAGGACCAUCACAGAUGCUCUACGUAACUCUCACAGUGGAGGACAGCUUUAAAGACUGCCCCCACCCUAGUCUUGGUUACCUGACCGGGAAGCGAGGUAAUUGGCGGACAGUUGAGGCAGCACUUUAGGCGGCUUAGGCCUGCCCUGUGGAGCAUCCCUGCGGGGGACUCCUGCCAGCUUGAGCGACACGGAUACUGAGAGCUCUCCCAAGUAGGCAAUUGACCCGGUGGAAUGCCUCGUCAGAGCAGUGUGUGGUAGGCCCCCGUGGAGGAUCGACGCAGUGGGUGAACACUGGGAAGGAACAGGCACUUGGAGUCCGGACAUUUGAAACUUGAUGAUCGAGUGUGGAUCAAGGACUGGAAAGUAGCCUCUUUGUGCCCACGGUGGAAAGGACCCCAGACUAUCGUCCUGAGCACUCCCACCGCUGUGAAGGUAGAAGGAAUCCCAGCCUGGAUCCAACACAGCCAUAUAAAACCUGCAGGGCCUGAAACCUGGGAGGCAAGACCAAGCCCAGACAACCCUUGCAGAGUGACCCUGAAGAAGACGACAAGCCCUGCUCCAGUCACACCCAGAAGCUGACUGGUCCACGCACGGCCGAAGCCUGAGGAAGCUCAUCAUGAGAUUCAUUUUUCUUAAAUUUUGGACUUAUACAGUAAGGGCUUCAACUGACCUUACUCAAACUGGGGACUGUUCCCAGUGUAUUCAUCAGGUCACCGAAGUAGGACAGCAAAUUAAAACAAUCUUUCUGUUCUAUAGUUAUGAAUGUAUGGGAACAUUAAAAGAAACUUGUUUGUA